AGUAGUUUGAUCAGUGGCUCAGGACGAACGCUGGCGGUGUGCUUCACACAUGCAAGUCGAACGAGGUAGCAAUACCUAGUGGCGGACGGGUGAGUAACGCGUGGGAAUCUGCCUUUAGAUGGGGGAUAACGGGUCGAAAGACUCGCUAAUACCGCAUAUGACGAAAGUUGAAAGGAGUAAUCCGUCUAAAGAUGAGCCCGCGUCCGAUUAGCUAGUUGGUAGAGUAAAAGCCUACCAAGGCGACGAUCGGUAGCUGGUCUGAGAGGAUGAUCAGCCACAAUGGGACUGAGACACGGCCCAUACUCCUACGGGAGGCAGCAGUGGGGAAUUUUACGCAAUGGGCGAAAGCCUGACGUAGCGACACCGCGUGAGCGAAGAAGCCCCUUGGGGUGUAAAGCUCUGUCAGCUGGAACGAAAAAAAUGACGGUACCAGCAGAGGAAGCAUCGGCUAACUACGUG
This 459-nucleotide ribosomal RNA is filed under the name uncultured bacterium. Its description in RNAcentral is "bacterial SSU rRNA". It matches the Rfam family "Bacterial small subunit ribosomal RNA", at positions 1 to 507 of the family's 1533-position model. The record is from RNAcentral.